UACGAAGGGGGCUAGCGUUGUUCGGAAUUACUGGGCGUAAAGGGCGCGUAGGCGGUCCUGAUCGUCGGAUGUGAAAGGCCUGGGCUCAACCUGGGAACUGCAUCCGAUACGGCGGGACUGGAGUGUGGGAGAGGUUGGUGGAAUUCCCAGUGUAGAGGUGAAAUUCGUAGAUAUUGGGAAGAACACCGGUGGCGAAGGCGGCGAGCUGGUCCAUUACUGACGCUGAGGCGCGACAGCGUGGGGAGCAAACAGG
This 253-nucleotide ribosomal RNA is filed under the name uncultured bacterium. RNAcentral's name for it is "partial 16S ribosomal RNA". It matches the Rfam family "Bacterial small subunit ribosomal RNA", at positions 524 to 776 of the family's 1533-position model. The record is from RNAcentral.